RNAcentral lists this ribosomal RNA (1420 nucleotides) under uncultured organism. RNAcentral describes it as "16S ribosomal RNA". It matches the Rfam family "Bacterial small subunit ribosomal RNA". The record is from RNAcentral.
GAUGAACGCUAGCUACAGGCUUAACACAUGCAAGUCGAGGGGUAGCAUGGUCUUAGCUUGCUAAGGCCGAUGGCGACCGGCGCACGGGUGAGUAACACGUAUCCAACCUGCCGUCUACUCUUGGACAGCCUUCUGAAAGGAAGAUUAAUACAAGAUGGCAUCAUGAGUCCGCAUGUUCACAUGAUUAAAGGUAUUCCGGUAGACGAUGGGGAUGCGUUCCAUUAGAUAGUAGGCGGGGUAACGGCCCACCUAGUCUUCGAUGGAUAGGGGUUCUGAGAGGAAGGUCCCCCACAUUGGAACUGAGACACGGUCCAAACUCCUACGGGAGGCAGCAGUGAGGAAUAUUGGUCAAUGGGCGAGAGCCUGAACCAGCCAAGUAGCGUGAAGGAUGACUGCCCUAUGGGUUGUAAACUUCUUUUAUAAAGGAAUAAAGUCGGGUAUGCAUACCCGUUUGCAUGUACUUUAUGAAUAAGGAUCGGCUAACUCCGUGCCAGCAGCCGCGGUAAUACGGAGGAUCCGAGCGUUAUCCGGAUUUAUUGGGUUUAAAGGGAGCGUAGAUGGAUGUUUAAGUCAGUUGUGAAAGUUUGCGGCUCAACCGUAAAAUUGCAGUUGAUACUGGAUAUCUUGAGUGCAGUUGAGGCAGGCGGAAUUCGUGGUGUAGCGGUGAAAUGCUUAGAUAUCACGAAGAACUCCGAUUGCGAAGGCAGCCUGCUAAGCUGCAACUGACAUUGAGGCUCGAAAGUGUGGGUAUCAAACAGGAUUAGAUACCCUGGUAGUCCACACGGUAAACGAUGAAUACUCGCUGUUUGCGAUAUACAGCAAGCGGCCAAGCGAAAGCGUUAAGUAUUCCACCUGGGGAGUACGCCGGCAACGGUGAAACUCAAAGGAAUUGACGGGGGCCCGCACAAGCGGAGGAACAUGUGGUUUAAUUCGAUGAUACGCGAGGAACCUUACCCGGGCUUAAAUUGCAGAUGAAUUACGGUGAAAGCCGUAAGCCGCAAGGCAUCUGUGAAGGUGCUGCAUGGUUGUCGUCAGCUCGUGCCGUGAGGUGUCGGCUUAAGUGCCAUAACGAGCGCAACCCUUGUUGUCAGUUACUAACAGGUUCCGCUGAGGACUCUGACAAGACUGCCAUCGUAAGAUGUGAGGAAGGUGGGGAUGACGUCAAAUCAGCACGGCCCUUACGUCCGGGGCUACACACGUGUUACAAUGGGGGGUACAGAGGGCCGCUACCACGCGAGUGGAUGCCAAUCCCAAAAACCUCUCUCAGUUCGGACUGGAGUCUGCAACCCGACUCCACGAAGCUGGAUUCGCUAGUAAUCGCGCAUCAGCCACGGCGCGGUGAAUACGUUCCCGGGCCUUGUACACACCGCCCGUCAAGCCAUGGGAGCCGGGGGUACCUGAAGUGCGUAACCGCGAGGAG